RNAcentral lists this long non-coding RNA (404 nucleotides) under Vulpes vulpes (red fox). RNAcentral describes it as "lncRNA (ENSVVUG00000010153.1)". Lineage: Eukaryota; Metazoa; Chordata; Mammalia; Carnivora; Canidae. The record is from RNAcentral.
CUGACAUUGGGCAUCCUGAAAUGGAGAGAGUGAAAUGAAGAAUUUGAACUUCCCCUAGGCCGGAAACACACACAAGUGCUCAAAAGUCUCACUGCUGAACUCUAACUUUCCAGCUCAAGUGGCUUUGGGUAAUAUAGUUCAUCCUAUGUCGUUGCCUAUUCAGCUAGACAUGAUGAGGUUCAAACUACCAUCACCAAACUGAUUGUGGAAACGAUAAUAUCAUCACCAUCAUCUACUGGUGAGACAUGAAUGGCUCUGUCAUUCUGUCCUACGGGCACUCACAAACGAAGCAGGAAUCAGACAUAAAUCCCUAGAGGUAAAAUGACAGGACAUUACAAGGCUCAGAGCUCAGAGCAUAAUUGUAAACCUGCAUGCUAAUAAGCCUGACUUUUAAAGAUACCAAU